Molecule: ribosomal RNA, 373 nt
Filed under: Peptostreptococcus russellii
Lineage: Bacteria; Bacillati; Bacillota; Clostridia; Peptostreptococcales; Peptostreptococcaceae
Description: bacterial LSU rRNA
Rfam family: Bacterial large subunit ribosomal RNA
Source: RNAcentral
GCUGUAGUUGGUCCCAAGGGUUGGGCUGUUCGCCCAUUAAAGUGGUACGCGAGCUGGGUUCAGAACGUCGUGAGACAGUUCGGUCCCUAUCCGUCGCAGGCGUAGGAAAUUUGCGGAGAUCUGCCCCUAGUACGAGAGGACCGGGGUGGACAUACCUCUGGUGUACCAGUUGUCCUGCCAAGGGCAUAGCUGGGUAGCUAUGUAUGGAAAGAAUAAGCGCUGAAAGCAUCUAAGCGCGAAGUCCACUUCAAGAUAAGAUUUCCCACCGUAAGGUUAAGAUCCCAGGAAGACUACCUGGUUGAUAGGUCAAAGGUGUAAGUGCAGUAAUGUAUGUAGCUUAUUGAUACUAAUAGAUCGAGGACUUGACCAAUAA